UUCUUAUUGGAUAUGAUGACUGUCACGUGUCAUGUUCUGAUUGGAUCUCAACUCCAUGAAAGAUGAAAUGCAUUAUUGUUUUCAUUGACCAAUCAGAACAUGCCACGUGACAGUCAUCAUCC
This is a non-coding RNA of Glycine soja, 122 nucleotides long. The record is from Rfam. NCBI's taxonomy places the organism in Eukaryota, Viridiplantae, Streptophyta, Magnoliopsida, Fabales, Fabaceae.